Molecule: long non-coding RNA, 522 nt
Filed under: Equus caballus (horse)
Lineage: Eukaryota; Metazoa; Chordata; Mammalia; Perissodactyla; Equidae
Description: lncRNA (ENSECAG00000050877.1)
Source: RNAcentral
ACUCAAAGUAUAUUUUUAAAAAGGACAGUUACAAGGAGAAAAUCACAAAUCCAGAUUCACAAAUUUCAACUCUGAGUUACAUUACAGACAUCCAGGCUUGGGCCUUAAGACAAUGAGCAUGCCUCCUCCAUGCUUCGUUUCCCCUUGAUACCAAUUGGAAACUAUGGAAUCCCAGCUAAGACCAAAUAAUGAUAGUGCCCUACGAGAUGGCAGAGCAACAGGAUGAAAGGAAAUAAGCUGUUCUACAAAGGAUAGAUACACAAUAUAUUCAAUAAGAAGAAGCUUGGAGGGCUGACCCCAUGGCUGAGUGGAUAUCGUCUGUGGGAGAUAAUGUCUCCCAUUACACCUUGGUCUCAAAACACCAUCCUACCUGAGAUGAUGGUACUGACUCUCAUAAUAUUGGCCAAGCAUUGUUCUAAGUGGAAUACAGACAAUAUUUCGAUUAAUCCUCACAGCAAGCAUAUAGGAUAAAGACUAUGUUAUCCUCUUUAACACGUAAGAAAACUGAAGCUUAAUAAAGUG